GCGAGUGAAGCGGGAAAAGCUCAAAUUUGAAAUCUGGUAGUCUUUGGCUGCCCGAGUUGUAAUCUAGAGAAGUGUUAUCCGCGCUGGACCGUGUAUAAGUCUCCUGGAAUGGAGCGUCAUAGAGGGUGAGAAUCCCGUCUUUGACACGGACUACCAGGGCUUUGUGAUGCGCUCUCAAAGAGUCGAGUUGUUUGGGAAUGCAGCUCUAAAUGGGUGGUAAAUUCCAUCUAAAGCUAAAUAUUGGCGAGAGACCGAUAGCGAACAAGUACCGUGAGGGAAAGAUGAAAAGAACUUUGGAAAGAGAGUUAAACAGUACGUGAAAUUGUUGAAAGGGAAACGCUUGAAGUCAGUCGCGUUAGUCAGGAAUCAGCCUUGCUUUUGCUUGGUGUAUUUCCUGGUUGACGGGUCAGCAUCAAUUUUGACCGGUGGAAAAAGGCCAGGGGAAUGUGGCAUCUUCGGAUGUGUUAUAGCCUCUGGUUGCAUACAUCGGUUGGGAUUGAGGAACUCAGCACGCCGCAAGGUCGGGUUUUAAACCACGUUCGUGCUUAGGAUGCUGGCAUAAUGGCUUUAAUCGACCCGUCUUGAAACACGGACCAAGGAGUCUAACAUGCCUGCGAGUGUUUGGGUGGAAAACCCGAGCGCGUAAUGAAAGUGAAAGUUGAGAUCCCUGUCGUGGGGAGCAUCGACGCCCGGACCAGACCUUUUGUGACGGAUCCGCGGUAGAGCAUGUAUGUUGGGACCCGAAAGAUGGUGAACUAUGCCUGAAUAGGGUGAAGCCAGAGGAAACUCUGGUGGAGGCUCGUAGCGAUUCUGACGUGCAAAUCGAUCGUCAAAUUUGGGUAUAGGGGCGAAAGACUAAU
Molecule: ribosomal RNA, 860 nt
Filed under: Lulesia neofallax
Lineage: Eukaryota; Fungi; Basidiomycota; Agaricomycetes; Agaricales; Entolomataceae
Description: Clitocella sp. WL-2023a partial large subunit ribosomal RNA
Rfam family: Eukaryotic large subunit ribosomal RNA
Source: RNAcentral